Molecule: non-coding RNA, 25 nt
Filed under: Rattus norvegicus (Norway rat)
Lineage: Eukaryota; Metazoa; Chordata; Mammalia; Rodentia; Muridae
Source: RNAcentral
UCCUAUGCUCUAACUGCCUGUGUUG